This 508-nucleotide ribosomal RNA is filed under the name uncultured soil bacterium. RNAcentral's name for it is "bacterial SSU rRNA". It matches the Rfam family "Bacterial small subunit ribosomal RNA", at positions 8 to 495 of the family's 1533-position model. The record is from RNAcentral.
AGAGUUUGAUCCUGGCUCAGAACGAACGCUGGCGGCGUGCCUAACACAUGCAAGUCGAGCGAGAAAGGGGAGCAAUCCCUGAGUAAAGCGGCGAACGGGUGAGUAACACGUAGGUUACCUGCCUUUCAGCUUGGGACAACCUGUCGAAAGACGGGCUAAUACCAGAUAAGACCACGACUCUUUCGGGAGCAGUGGUAAAAGAUGGCCUCUUCGUGAACGCUAUCACUGAAAGAUGGGCCUGCGCACCAUUAGCUAGUUGGUAGGGUAAUGGCCUACCAAGGCUACGAUGGUUAGCUGAUCUGAGAGGAUGAUCAGCCACACUGGAACUGAAACACGGUCCAGACUCCUACGGGAGGCAGCAGUGGGGAAUAUUGCGCAAUGGGGGAAACCCUGACGCAGCAACGCCGCGUGAGUGACGAAGGCCUUCGGGUCGUAAAGCUCUGUCGGAGGGGAAGAAACUAUUCAUGGCUAAUAUCCAUGGAUAUGACGGUACCCUCAAAGAGCCCCG